AAGUCGUAACAAGGUUUCCGUAGGUGAACCUGCGGAAGGAUCAUUAAAGAAUAUCGAGCCUCACAGCUCUUAUUCUCACCCUUUGUAUACCGAACUUUGUUGCUUUGGCAGCGCCUUUGGGGCCUGCCAGAGGACCGAAACCCUAGAAUCUCUGCCGUCUGAGUAUUAUAUAAUAGUUAAAA
Molecule: unclassified non-coding RNA, 182 nt
Filed under: plant metagenome
Description: partial contains small subunit ribosomal RNA and internal transcribed spacer 1
Rfam family: Eukaryotic small subunit ribosomal RNA (bases 1-46)
Source: RNAcentral